This 432-nucleotide ribosomal RNA is filed under the name uncultured bacterium. RNAcentral's name for it is "bacterial SSU rRNA". It matches the Rfam family "Bacterial small subunit ribosomal RNA", at positions 368 to 793 of the family's 1533-position model. The record is from RNAcentral.
ACAAUGGGCGCAAGCCUGAUGCAGCCAUGCCGCGUGUAUGAAGAAGGCCUUCGGGUUGUAAAGUACUUUCAGCAGUGAGGAAGGUGGAUAUGUUAAUAGCAUAUUCAUUUGACGUUAGCUGCAGAAGAAGCACCGGCUAACUCCGUGCCAGCAGCCGCGGUAAUACGGAGGGUGCGAGCGUUAAUCGGAAUUACUGGGCGUAAAGCGCAUGCAGGUGGUUUGUUAAGUCAGAUGUGAAAGCCCGGGGCUCAACCUCGGAAUUGCAUUUGAAACUGGCAAACUAGAGUACUGUAGAGGGGGUAGAAUUUCAGGUGUAGCGGUGAAAUGCGUAGAGAUCUGAAGGAAUACCGGUGGCGAAGGCGGCCCCCUGGACAGAUACUGACACUCAGAUGCGAAAGCGUGGGGAGCAAACAGGAUUAGAUACCCUGGUAG